CUCGAUCACGUGCCCUUGCGCAAUGUUUGUAUUCAGGUUUCCCUUCGUUGAUUCAUUUAAUUAAUUUUUUAUUAUUAUGUCUGAGGCUUUAUUUAUUAGUAAGUUGUUACGUUUAAACGAACGAUACAUACUAAACAGAUCCCUAACGCGUUGAGCUACUAGUUUGGAAAAAUAGCAUUUGUCGUCCUUUGACUACUGUUCGUCUUGGCCUACCUAUGCUCACUGGAUUGGUUAGUCAGGCGAGUUCGCCAUUUUGCCAUCUUGACUCUGCAGUGCAUGCUCAUCAUGAAGAUCAUUAUGGAUGGAAUUGCAGGUUCAUCACCACGUAGACCACAGGAUGACGUCUCGCGAUAAAAUUUGUCCGCUGUUCAUCAUUUGGUGAAUAGGAACGAACAAUAUUUUCUUCCCUUUUCGCAACCUUCUCCGAAAACUACGCAUAUUUUUCAUCUGUUCAUUUACACAUAAAAUUCACUUUGUUGUAAGAUCCAAUAAAAUCGCAAAUAACCGAGGGUUUGUUAAAAUUUUGAAGUUAGUAACCUAAGAAAAGUUGCCAAAUAUGAAAUUUUCAUCUAUGGAGGUUUUAUUGUCUAUAUAAAUUAAUUGCUAUAUUUAUAUGUGGACAAUAAAUCAUUCUUAUAUAUUUUGUUAUCGUAAAAAUAUGGGUGUAUAUCAAAUUGAAAUGAUAUACUAAUUUAUUGGAGGGAACACGGCGCAUUUCAUUCUUUUCUUGGAAAAUGAGAGAAUAGAAAGGAGAAAAUUAAUUUGAUUAAUCAAAAUUGAGGGUUGCCGCUCUUCAGGGCGAACGUUUGCACUUUUCACCACAAACAACAACCCUCCGUGAAUAUGUAUGACGGGUGCAAAUAAUCGACCUUCGUUUCAACGCCCGUUUUGGUGUAUGCCAGGCCACUUUUAUCCAAUCUGCCGCGGUCGGUUUGUUCGGGGACAAAGGUAAAAAAAAAAAAAAAAAAAAAAAAAAAA
This is a long non-coding RNA of Cimex lectularius (bed bug), 978 nucleotides long. RefSeq lists it as uncharacterized. The record is from RefSeq and is a predicted model, not a curated record. NCBI's taxonomy places the organism in Eukaryota, Metazoa, Arthropoda, Insecta, Hemiptera, Cimicidae. The transcript has 2 exons.